RNAcentral lists this long non-coding RNA (1474 nucleotides) under Marmota monax (woodchuck). Lineage: Eukaryota; Metazoa; Chordata; Mammalia; Rodentia; Sciuridae. The record is from RNAcentral.
GCACUGGAGAUCUUUUCAUCUUCUAAGGUCUUCUUCACUUUCUUUCUUUAGUCUUAUAUAGUUUUCAUUGUAUUGGCUUUUCACUUCUUUUGUUAGAUUGAUUCCCAAGUAUUUCAUUUCAUUUUUUUUUGGGGGGGGCGCUAUUGUGAAUGGGGUAGUUUUCCUAAUUUCUCUUUCAGUGGAUUCAUCACAGAUGUAUAGAAAUGCAUUUGAUUUAUGGGUGUUGAUCACUUAUUAGUUCUAGAAGUUUUUUGGUAGAAUUUGUUUUGAUCUUCUAAAUAUAGAAUUAUGUUGUCGGCAAACAGUGAUAGUUUGAGUUCUUCUUUUUCUAUUUGUAUCCCUUUUUUAAAAAAAAUUUCUAGUUGUAGUUGGACACAGUACCUUUAUUUUGUUUAUUUUUAUGAUUGAACCAGGGCCUCACACUUACUAGGUGAGCACUCUACCGCUGAGCCUCAACCCCCAGGCACCACUCCCCCACAAUCCCUUUAAUUUCUUCUAAUUGCUCUGGCUACAGUUUCAAGGACAAUGUUGAAUAAAAGUGGUGAAAGACAGCAUCCUUUUGAAAGAGGGAAUGCUUUCAAUUUUUCUCUAUUUAGAAUGAUGUUGGCCUUGGGUUUGACACAUAGCUUUUACAAUGCUAAAGUACGUUCCUCCUAUCCCCCUUUUUUUUUUUCCUUGGGGGUGGUGGUGGUUACUAGGGUUUGAUCUCAGGGGUACUCGACCACUAAGCCACAUUCCCAGCCCUAUUUUGUAUUUUAUUUGGAGACAGGGUCUCACUGAGUUGCUUAUAGUACCUUGCUUUUGCUGAGGCUGGCUUUGAACUUAUGAUCCUCCUUCUCAGCCUCCUGAGCUGCUGGGGUUAUAGGCAUGCACUAUAUUUCUAGUUUUUCUACUGUUUUGAACAUGAAGCAGUGCUGUAUUUUAUCAUUCUUUUUCUGCAUCUACUGAGGUAACCAUAUGAUUCUUGUCUUUAAGUCUAUUGAUGUAAUAAAUUACAUUUAUUGAUUUCCAUAUGUUGAACCAACUUCACAUCCCUGGGAUGAAUCCCACUUGAUUGUAGUGUGUUAUCUUUUAAAUAUGUUUUUGUAUGUGAUUUGAAGAAUUUUAUUGAGAACUUUUGCAUUUAUGUUAAUCAGGGAUAUUGGUCUGUAGUUUUCUUUGCUUGAUGUGUCUUUGUCUGGUUUUGGGAUCAGGGUAAUAGAAGCUUCAUAGAAUGAGUUUGGAAGGAUUCCCUUCUCUUCUAUUUCAUGGAAUAAUUUGAGGAGUAUUGGUGUUAAUUCUUCUUUGAAGGUCUUAUAGAACUUGGCUGAGAAUCUGGUUCUGGGCUUUAUUAAGUUGCUAGGCUUUUGAUGGCAUCUUCUGUUUCAUUGCUUGAAAUUGAUCUGUUUAAAUUGUGUAUGUCCUCUUGAUUGAGUUUGGGUGGGUCAUAUGUCUCUAGAAAUUUAUUUAUGUCUUCAAGAUUUUCUAUUUUAUU